Long non-coding RNA from Aegilops tauschii subsp. strangulata, 888 nucleotides. RefSeq lists it as uncharacterized. Lineage: Eukaryota; Viridiplantae; Streptophyta; Magnoliopsida; Poales; Poaceae. The record is from RefSeq and is a predicted model, not a curated record.
CCACAUCGCUCUCUCGCUCUUUCUCUGACCGCACACGUUCUCUCUCUCUGCCUCUCUUGUUCCCCUUCUGGCGCCGCUCCGAUUCUGGCGGGUUCCGGUGCUGAGGGUUUUGGACGGCGGCGGCAGAAACGAUGGACUGCUAGGGUUCAUCCCCUCCACGACAUUGACUACAAACCAUCUGCAAGUUCAUCCCCUCCACCUUCUUUUGCUUUCUACGAAAUCAUCGAUGAGUUCAUACCCUCGCGAUUUGAUUUCCAUUGCUAGGGUUUCAGUUUGACAGUGAAGUGAGUAGGCCAGAUGAAUAUGACUGGUUGCAGCCAAUGAGUACCUACAACAGCCACUACCGUCUUCGUGUAACUUCGCGGCGUAUGCUGACGUCGACAGAGGCGAAGAGAGCACCAACCAGGAAUACGUAUGACGCCCGUCUCCGGCACCCGUCGAGGAGAAGGUUUCUGACGUGGACAUGCUCAACUGUGAGUUGAUCGCGUCUCAGAAGAGUAUAAUCAAGGCCCUCAGGGACUUGAAUUCCUCACUAUAGAUGGAGAAGGAUGAGAUCAUCGACGAUAAGUCUGAUAUCUUUUAUAAGAUUAUUAGGCUGAAGGAGCCGCAGGAUGAACUAGUCCAGGAGAGGGAUCAGCUGAACAAAGAGAUAAAGCUCCUGAGGGUCGAGAGGAAUUAGGUGAAGAUAGAGAAAGCCCAUUUCAAACAAGAGGGGGAGAGCAAUAGGAACAAGCUACGCUAGAUGAAGUUAAUCCUUCAAAGAGAGUGAGACGUAGGUAGUUUGGUUGGCAAUGACCUUUUGUGAAGAUGAACUACUGACUUUUGUUAAGUUUGUGAGACUAGUUAAGUUUUAAAUGUUGCAUAUAUGGACUAUGGACUAGGUUUAAA